GAUGAACGCUGGCGGCGUGCCUAAUACAUGCAAGUCGAGCGAACGGACGAGAAGCUUGCUCUUCUGAUGUUAGCGGCGGACGGGUGAGUAACACGUGGAUAACCUACCUAUAAGACAGGGAUAACUUCGGCAAACCGAGGCUAAUACCGGAUAAUAUUUUGAACCUCAUGGUUCAAAAGUGAAAGACGGUCUUUCUGUCACUUAUAGCUGGAUCCGCGCUGCAUUAGUUAGUUGGUAGGGUAACGGCUUACCAAGGCAACGAUGCAUAGCCGACCGUAGAGGGAGAUCGGUCACACUGCAACUAAGACACGCUCCAGACACAUACGGGAGGCAGGCAGAAGGAAUCUACGGCAGUGAGCGAGAGGGUGACGGAGCAACGCCGCGAGAGUGAUGAAGGUCUGCGGAUCGUAAAACUAUGUUAUUAUAGGAGAGCAGAUGUGGAAGUAACUGUGCACAACUGGACGGAACGUAAGAAGAAGGCCACGCUAAACCACUG
Molecule: ribosomal RNA, 496 nt
Filed under: uncultured bacterium
Lineage: Bacteria
Description: partial 16S ribosomal RNA
Rfam family: Bacterial small subunit ribosomal RNA
Source: RNAcentral